RNAcentral lists this unclassified non-coding RNA (514 nucleotides) under Hevea brasiliensis (rubber tree). Lineage: Eukaryota; Viridiplantae; Streptophyta; Magnoliopsida; Malpighiales; Euphorbiaceae. The record is from RNAcentral.
AGUUCUGCCUCAGUACACUAAAUUAAUAUCGAGACAGCUCAGCCUAAGGAGACGAAGACUACUUCACUAUACGAGAAUCCCAGGGGUUAUUAGCCACUCCCGACACCUCCAUUAGGAAGAAGAGGCGCUCGAGAGACCUUCCCAGUUAGUCAAUUAAGGCUUCCCACUCAUUGAUCAGGACAAAGGGGAGGUCUGAUCUUGAUCUUAUUCCACAGAGACAUAGGAAAGACAGAGGCCCUUGGACCUUAUGAGUAAACUGGACGAAGAAGAAGGAGUUGACCCUUGACUCACUACCACUGCCGAAGUUACUGGAGAACUACGACAAAGGGGCUCAAAUCCAGGUGGUUAAGUCUCCUUUAACAAACCGACUAGAAGACCCACAGAUGAAGUUUCACCCAUUCCAGGUUUUUACGUGCAUUGCAUUGAGAUAUACCAACUUCGUACGAUCGAUAUAACAAGGAUCCAGUCCUUACCAAAAAGACGUCGACAGGAUGAAAUCAAUGCUUGGUUCCUG